UCCAGUGCUGAGAAAAUAUUAACUCGGAACGCUUUAAUGUUCCAGUUUGUCUCACAAAUUUACUGCUAAUCGUUCUUUAGGAUUUAAUUAACAUCAGCGUGAUAUCACGUAUUUUAAAUUCUGGAUUAACAAUAAAAUUUGCAGUUUGUAGAGUGGUAGCCUAGUGGUUUCAAGGUGGGACUCCUAUCUCUGAGGUCGUAAGUUCCAAAGUUAGAUCUCCGGCUAGUUACAAGGAUUUUCCUUCUAAAUACGCACUCGCUAUUUAUAUCAAAAAUACUGGCGGACGUCAGGCACUUACUUGUCCAUUUAGAAAGGAAUAUUCUCUGUGGACCAUUUGACUUCCUCUCGGAUAUUCCUCAUGGAUUUUUCGAUGAUGUGCUCGGCUGAAGCGAAUUCUCCUUGAUGUGAAACGUACAGCUUUGAAACUAAAUCCAAACC
Molecule: long non-coding RNA, 438 nt
Organism: Pieris brassicae (large cabbage white)
Lineage: Eukaryota; Metazoa; Arthropoda; Insecta; Lepidoptera; Pieridae
Exons: 3
Source: RefSeq, a predicted model, not a curated record